RNAcentral lists this transfer RNA (72 nucleotides) under Patescibacteria group bacterium. Its description in RNAcentral is "tRNA-Met". It matches the Rfam family "tRNA". From Rfam's summary of the family: Transfer RNA (tRNA) molecules are approximately 80 nucleotides in length. Their secondary structure includes four short double-helical elements and three loops (D, anti-codon, and T loops). Further hydrogen bonds mediate the characteristic L-shaped molecular structure. tRNAs have two regions of fundamental functional importance: the anti-codon, which is responsible for specific mRNA codon recognition, and the 3' end, to which the tRNAs corresponding amino acid is attached (by aminoacyl-tRNA synthetases). tRNAs cope with the degeneracy of the genetic code in two manners: having more than one tRNA (with a specific anti-codon) for a particular amino acid; and 'wobble' base-pairing, i.e. permitting non-standard base-pairing at the 3rd anti-codon position. The record is from RNAcentral.
CUCGGGGUGGAGCAGUGGUAGCUCGCCAGGCUCAUAACCUGGAGGCCGCAGGUUCAAAUCCUGCCCCCGAGA